This 150-nucleotide ribosomal RNA is filed under the name uncultured bacterium. RNAcentral's name for it is "partial 16S ribosomal RNA". It matches the Rfam family "Bacterial small subunit ribosomal RNA", at positions 337 to 480 of the family's 1533-position model. The record is from RNAcentral.
UCCUACGGGAGGCAGCAGUGGGGAAUUUUGGACAAUGGGCGAAAGCCUGAUCCAGCCAUGCCGCGUGAGUGAAGAAGGCCUUCGGGUUGUAAAGCUCUUUCAGCCGGAAAGAAAUCGCGCAGGAUAAUACUCUGCGUGGAUGACGUACCG